CCAUUGUGAGAACAAGUUUCAUUAAAAACCUGAAAUAUUAAUUGAAUUCCAUUCUGCAGAAUUAGAGAGCUCUCAAGAUGAAUGAAUCAAUAUAGAAGCCAACCUUCUCUUUCUUGUCAGAGCAGAGUUUCCACUCACUGGAUCAGCUUCGUCUCGAUGCUGGGUGACUUCUUUGUAGUUAAUUAUUCAAAAGAAAUAUGCAAGAAAUGAAAUGCCAGAAGAAGAAGGACAUAUCUACUACUGAGCAUCUUGUGAAGAUAACCAGCCAGUGCGUUUUCCUCCUCCUUUGGUCUAUGCAGCAUUUGUCUGAAUGGAAUAGAAAACGAGAGGGGACAAAGCUUAAGUCUGUGAGGCCAGAGAAGGUGGGAUAGGGUGAGGAUAGAUAAGCAAGAACACGUCUCUGCAAAUAAGAGUCUCAUGUCACUCACUGGGAUAUAGUGACUUCUCCUAAAUCAUACAUUCCUGGAAAUGCUUCAAACAGAAGUCUCAGCUUGGACGGUCUAUCAGAGAGCUCUGGGUAAUUAGAUCCAGCAAUCUUGCUCAAACACAUGACCAUUUCUGACCUGGUUAUUACAUGGAUUGAGCUUCCUGCAUAAACAAUAUUAGAACAAUAAAGAUGAUGUCUCAAAGAUAC
This is a long non-coding RNA of Erinaceus europaeus (western European hedgehog), 634 nucleotides long. RefSeq lists it as uncharacterized. The record is from RefSeq and is a predicted model, not a curated record. The transcript is spliced from 2 exons. NCBI's taxonomy places the organism in Eukaryota, Metazoa, Chordata, Mammalia, Eulipotyphla, Erinaceidae.